Molecule: ribosomal RNA, 255 nt
Filed under: uncultured bacterium
Lineage: Bacteria
Description: partial 16S ribosomal RNA
Rfam family: Bacterial small subunit ribosomal RNA
Source: RNAcentral
UACGUAGGGUGCGAGCGUUGUCCGGAAUUAUUUGGGCGUAAAGAGCUCGUAGGCGGUUUUGUCGCGUCUGCCGUGAAAGUCCGGGGCUCAACUCCGGAUCUGCGGUGGGUACGGGCAGACUAGAGUGAUGUAGGGGAGACUGGAAUUCCUGGUGUAGCGGUGAAAUGCGCAGAUAUCAGGAAGAACACCCGUGGCGAAGGCGGCUCUCUGGGACGGUACUGACGCUGAGACGCGAAAGCGUGGGGAGCGAACAGG